GGGUUGUGAGGUUAAGCGACUAAGCGUACACGGUGGAUGCCCUGGCAGUCAGAGGCGAUGAAGGACGUGCUAAUCUGCGAUAAGCGCCGGUAAGGUGAUAUGAACCGUUAUAACCGGCGAUUUCCGAAUGGGGAAACCCAGUGUGACUCGUCACACUAUCAUUAACUGAAUCCAUAGGUUAAUGAGGCGAACCGGGGGAACUGAAACAUCUAAGUACCCCGAGGAAAAGAAAUCAACCGAGAUUCCCCCAGUAGCGGCGAGCGAACGGGGAGGAGCCCAGAGCCUGAAUCAGCAUGUGUGUUAGUGGAAGCGUCUGGAAAGGCGCGCGAUACAGGGUGACAGCCCCGUACACAAAAGCGCAUGUGCUGUGAGCUCGAUGAGUAGGGCGGGACACGUGGUAUCCUGUCUGAAUAUGGGGGGACCAUCCUCCAAGGCUAAAUACUCCUGACUGACCGAUAGUGAACCAGUACCGUGAGGGAAAGGCGAAAAGAACCCCGGCGAGGGGAGUGAAAAAGAACCUGAAACCGUGUACGUACAAGCAGUGGGAGCCCCACCACUAAGCCAGUGGUGAACUCCACAUACGCAUCCUUUGCUGAGGAUACGGUUAACGGAGCGCAAGCGACGUUCAACCGCAAAAGAAGCAGAGGGGGCUUAGUGGUGGGGUGACUGCGUACCUUUUGUAUAAUGGGUCAGCGACUUAUAUUCUGUAGCAAGGUUAACCGAAUAGGGGAGCCGGAGGGAAACCGAGUCUUAAUUGGGCGUUAAGUUGCAGGGUAUAGACCCGAAACC
This 789-nucleotide ribosomal RNA is filed under the name Salmonella enterica subsp. enterica. RNAcentral describes it as "partial 23S ribosomal RNA". It matches the Rfam family "Bacterial large subunit ribosomal RNA", at positions 1 to 722 of the family's 2925-position model. The record is from RNAcentral. Lineage: Bacteria; Pseudomonadati; Pseudomonadota; Gammaproteobacteria; Enterobacterales; Enterobacteriaceae.